RNAcentral lists this ribosomal RNA (394 nucleotides) under Adriamonas peritocrescens. RNAcentral's name for it is "partial small subunit ribosomal RNA". It matches the Rfam family "Eukaryotic small subunit ribosomal RNA", at positions 30 to 432 of the family's 1831-position model. The record is from RNAcentral. Lineage: Eukaryota; Bigyra; Bicosoecida; Siluaniidae.
GCUUGUCUCAAAGAUUAAGCCAUGCACGUCUAAGUAUAAGCGAUUAUACUGUGAAACUGCGAAUGGCUCAUUAUAUCAGUUAUAGUUUAUUUGAUGGUCCUUGCUACUUGGAUAACCGUAGUAAUUCUAGAGCUAAUACAUGCGUCAAGUCCGGACCGCGCGAGCGGGAAGGAUGUGUUUAUUAGAUACAACCAACCCUUCGGGUCCCUGGUGAAUCAUAAUAACCGAACGAACCGCAUGCUUCGGCGGCGGUGGUUCAUUCAAGUUUCUGCCCUAUCAGCUUUCGAUGGUAGGGUAUUGGCCUACCAUGGCGUUAACGGGUAACGGAGAAUUAGGGUUCGAUUCCGGAGAGGGAGCCUGAGAGAUGGCUACCACAUCCAAGGAAGGCAGCAGG